RNAcentral lists this unclassified non-coding RNA (417 nucleotides) under uncultured Naucoria. Its description in RNAcentral is "sequence contains ITS2". The stretch from base 1 to 154 matches the Rfam family "5.8S ribosomal RNA". The record is from RNAcentral. Lineage: Eukaryota; Fungi; Basidiomycota; Agaricomycetes; Agaricales; Cortinariaceae.
AACUUUCAGCAACGGAUCUCUUGUCUCUCGCAUCGAUGAAGAACGCAGCGAAAUGUGAUAAGUAAUGUGAAUUGCAGAAUUCAGUGAAUCAUCGAAUCUUUGAACGCACCUUGCGCUCCUUGGUAUUCCGAGGAGCAUGCCUGUUUGAGUGUCAUUAAAUUCUCAACCUUUGUUAGCUUUUGCUGAUAAUGGCUUGGAUGUGGGGGUUUUGCCGGCUUCGGUCAGCUCCCCUUAAAUGCAUUAGCCGGUGCCCUGUGUGGACUGUCUGUUGGCGUGAUAAUUAUCUACGUCACGUGAUGUCUGCAAUUCAAGCGCGCUGCUUCUAACCGUCUGUUCAUUCGGACAAUUCAAUGACAAUUUGACCUCAAAUCAGGUAGGACUACCCGCUGAACUUAAGCAUAUCAAUAAGCGGAGGCU